CCUACGGGAGGCAGCAGUGAGGAAUAUUGGUCAUUGGACGAGAGUCUGAACCAGCCAAGUAGCGUGAAGGAUGACUGCCCUAUGGGUUGUAAACUUCUUUUAUAUGGGAAUAAAACGUUCCACGUGUGGGAUUUUGUAUGUACCAUAUGAAUAAGGAUCGGCUAACUCCGAGCCAGCAGCCGCGGUAAUACGGAGGAUCCGAGCGUUAUCCGGAUUUAUUGGGUUUAAAGGGAGCGUAGGUGGAUUGUUAAGUCAGUUGUGAAAGUUUGCGGAUCAAGCGUAAAAUUGCAGUUGAAACUGGCAGUCUUGAGUACAGUAGAGGUGGGCGGAAUUCGUGGUGUAGCGGUGAAAUGCUUAGAUAUCACGAAGAACUCCGAUUGCGAAGGCAGUUCACUGGACUGCAACUGACACUGAGGCUCGAAAGUGUGGGUAUCAAACAGGAUUAGAUACCCGAGUAGUC
RNAcentral lists this ribosomal RNA (460 nucleotides) under uncultured bacterium. Its description in RNAcentral is "partial 16S ribosomal RNA". It matches the Rfam family "Bacterial small subunit ribosomal RNA", at positions 338 to 795 of the family's 1533-position model. The record is from RNAcentral.